Molecule: long non-coding RNA, 904 nt
Organism: Halichondria panicea
Lineage: Eukaryota; Metazoa; Porifera; Demospongiae; Suberitida; Halichondriidae
Exons: 2
Source: RefSeq, a predicted model, not a curated record
CAGGCUUCUCCCCCACGUGGAUGUAGGAAUGACUGUCAGCUAGCUCAGAGCUGGGACUCACGCUAAAAGACACUCUUGAGGAUAGAGUAUAGCGGGGCAAGAGUGAGGUGGUGUUGGUCUAGCCGUACUGAGGAACACACUAUGGAGCAGAUACCCAGCUCAGCAUUUCAAAUGCCAUUUGAUAGAGCUAAGACUAUGACAAGCCGAAAGAAACGCCUUGAACGAAGUGAUGACAACAACAACUGUUGGUGUGUUAUGGGAGGGGCUGGAGGACGAAGGAUCGGGCAAUGUGGUUGUCGCAAACUCCAGGAGGUUCAAAGGUCGUCCUGUGGACGUACUUCAUACAACAGUGGAGACAAUUAUCUCAGUAGUACAUACUGAAUCAUACUGAAUGCACUAGUCAAACUAAUGCCCCCCUACCAGGGAUAGGUGGGGAUUUACCAAUCACAUGAUCUAAUCUCCCUACCUUUGGGCAAGUUAUGAGGUCUAAUCCGUUUUUUUUAUAUAUUCCAGCUCUGUAAGAUCGUACACACACACACACCCGAUCCUCGUACACACACACACACACGGCCCUCGUACACACACACACACACACACAGGGCUAUGUGGUUCGUAUCAGCGGUGGCAAUGACGAGCAGGGCUUCCCCAUGAAGCAAGGUGUCCUCACUAAUGGCCAUGUUAAGCUCCUCCUCUAGAAGUGGCACAGUUGUUACAGACCCUGAAACGCAAGUCAGUGAGAGGCUGGACAGCAACCUGAGUGUGCUCAAUCUAGUCAUCAUCAAGAAAGGUUGGUGGAGGAGCACUCUAAAACACUGGAUAGGGUCACUGAACUAUGGAAGCAGAAGCAUGGCCGGUCAAUUGGGACGAUGUGCGUAUGCACACACACACACACACACACACACAC